This 497-nucleotide ribosomal RNA is filed under the name uncultured bacterium. Its description in RNAcentral is "partial 16S ribosomal RNA". It matches the Rfam family "Bacterial small subunit ribosomal RNA", at positions 28 to 507 of the family's 1533-position model. The record is from RNAcentral.
GAUGAACGCUGGCGGCGUGCCUAAUACAUGCAAGUCGAGCGAACAGACGAGGAGCUUGCUCCUCUGACGUUAGCGGCGGACGGGUGAGUAACACGUGGAUAACCUACCUAUAAGACUGGGAUAACUUCGGGAAACCGGAGCUAAUACCGGAUAAUAUAUUGAACCGCAUGGUUCAAUAGUGAAAGACGGUUUUGCUGUCACUUAUAGAUGGAUCCGCGCCGCAUUAGCUAGUUGGUAAGGUAACGGCUUACCAAGGCAACGAUGAGUAGCAGACCUGAGAGGGUGAUCGGCCACACUGGAACUGAGACACGGUCCAGACUCCUACGGGAGGCAGCAGUAGGGAAUCUUCGGCAAUGGGCGAAAGCCUGAUGGAGCAACGCCGCGUGAGUGAUGAAGGUCUUCGGAUCGUAAAACUCUUUUAUUAGGGAAGAAAAGAUGUGGAAGAAAAUAUGCAGGUCUUGACGGUACCUGAUCAAAAAGCAACGGCUAACUACGUG